RNAcentral lists this long non-coding RNA (559 nucleotides) under Medicago truncatula (barrel medic). Its description in RNAcentral is "long non-coding RNA (MTRU_LNC007726)". Lineage: Eukaryota; Viridiplantae; Streptophyta; Magnoliopsida; Fabales; Fabaceae. The record is from RNAcentral.
AAAAAAAAAUAUCUUGAAUCUGAGAAAAAUCUCAUUGUUUAAUAAACCCCAAUUAAAAUAAAAUUGAAAAUUAUAAGAUUAUGAUUGUAAAUUCUAGAGGCACGAUAAACCUCAAUUCUGUAACAAAAAAAUAAUCAAAUGUACUCAUAAACUAACAUGAAAUUGUAACGAGAAUUAACAUCAAAUAGAGUACCUGUGCGACCACCAACACCGGUAACAAGGACAGUGGUUUGAGAUGAACCUGCCAUUGAAUUGAACCGAAUUUGAUAGAGACAAAACAAAAACAAUACUCAAUGGAUUGAAAAUGUGAUACUUAUGAUGCCGAUGAAGAAAAGAAGGUUCUGGAUGAUGAAAUUAGUUUAAAUAAGAAAAAAAAAAUCAUUUGGGAAUUUAUGGAUUUUUAAUUGAAUAAGAGAUGAAGAAGAUUGAGUUUUUGAAAAAAAGAAUUUGAAGUUUUAAUUUUUUUGAUUUUCUAGGUAUGAUAAGGCAUGAAGGUGGAUGAAGAGGAUAAGAGAUGAAGAAGGAAUAGAGCAGAGAAGCUGGAGAAUGAAGAUUGUUG